GUAUGUCUGUGUGUGUGUGUGUAUGUCUGUGUGUCUGUGUGUGUGUAUGUCAUUAUGUCUGUCAUAGACACACACAGACAUACUGACAUACAUACACAAACAGACAU
This 107-nucleotide microRNA precursor is filed under the name Pelobates cultripes (western spadefoot toad). The record is from RNAcentral. Lineage: Eukaryota; Metazoa; Chordata; Amphibia; Anura; Pelobatidae.